Molecule: ribosomal RNA, 253 nt
Filed under: uncultured bacterium
Lineage: Bacteria
Description: partial 16S ribosomal RNA
Rfam family: Bacterial small subunit ribosomal RNA
Source: RNAcentral
GACGUAGGGCGCGAGCGUUGUCCGGAUUUAUUGGGCGUAAAGAGCUCGUAGGCGGUCUGUCGCGUCGGCUGUGAAAUCCCGGGGCUCAACUCCGGGUCUGCAGUCGAUACGGGCAGACUGGAGUUCGGCAGGGGAGACUGGAAUUCCUGGUGUAGCGGUGGAAUGCGCAGAUAUCAGGAGGAACACCGAUGGCGAAGGCGGCUCACUGGCCCGGUACUGACGCUGAGGUGCGAAAGCGUGGGGAGCAAACAGG